GGUAACAAGGGAGAAAUGGACUACAUUUUGCAUUCAGGAACAACUCUUUCUGACUUAGUUUAUAAACAACGUAUAAACCAUUAGUUUCCCUGUGCACCCAACUGUUUUUUCAGGUGAGCAAGAAAUUGUGGUUCCUACUUGCAGAAUGUCGUCCAAUUGUACUUAGGUGUUUUUAGCAUGAGUUUGGGUGUUUACGGGAAUGCUGGCUGCAACGAGGUGCAAGAGGAAUUCGAAAGAAACCUCUCUGCCCUCCGCGAGUUCGUCACCAGUUCCGUUUGCCGAAUUUCGAAUUUCUCUCGUGUUGAAACAACGCCGAGAGACAAUCCUCGUCUCGAGGUCAGAACUACCCUCGACGAUCAGCAAGGAGGCUUCAACCACCCGAUAUAAAUACUAAUUACCACCGAUCGGGGCCCAUUUCAGUUUGGCACUCAUACAGAGUGCGACAGUGAGCAGUGUUUCUACCAAAAGGAUAACCUCCCUUCAAAAUGAAUCGGUAUAAACUAUCGAUCGUGCUCCUGCUCUUGAGCACGGUGGCCAUUGCGCUGGCCAAUGAGGCCAACGAAGAGGCCUUGAAGGACGCAGAUUCAGACUCCACCCACACGGGUGCCGAGCCUCAGAAGCGCUCCCUCAAGAAGUUCAAAAAGCUCAAAAAGCUGGCACUCCUCAAGAAAAAAGGUCCGUGGUUCCUUCCUGAGUUCGAGGUUGAAGAGGUCAAAGAAACUUCACCUCUCCCCGUGUUUAAAGUACACAAAUACGCCGGGAUCGAAGUCAAGCCUAUCCCACCACCCCGCCACCACCACCCCCACCGCCCGCAGUCUACGGACCACCAUCCCCACCACCAACCGUCUACGGACCACCCGAAGCCGCCGCAGCAGCCGUAGCUACCUCCGAAGGCAAAGGAAACCCCGACCUGGCAAUCCUCGACUCCCUGGGCCCCCUCGUCUCCGGCGAAGGCGGCGUGGAUCUAUCCGCUCUUUUGAGCAUCGCUGGCAGCGGUGAAAUCCCGUUGGAAGCCAUCGAAACCCUCUCCCAAAUCGCCAAGACCAACCCCAAACUCGUGGCCAGCAUCGUAAACGGACUGAAGAACCCCAAGAAGGCCAAAAAAGCUGGCAUCAUCGCUGCUUUGCUGAAACUCAAGGCCAAAAAGAAGCUCCUGAAGAAGAAGCCACUGAAACUCUUGGCCAAGGGAGUCGCCGCCAAGGCCGCCAUCACCAAGAAGAAGCUCUUCGCCCCCUUCGCUUUGGUGGCCGCUGAGGGCGCCAAGGUCGCAUCCGCAGUCUCCUCCAUCCCCUCCAACAUCGCCGGCUACAUCUGGCCCGAAGAAGAGACCGGACCCUACGAGGCCGAGCUCCCCUCCCCGCAAGAAGUUUCACCCCUCUUCUCCCUUGAAGCCCUAUCACCCCUCCCUGGUCUCCCACUCCUGAAAUUCCCCGGUAAAUACAAGCUCAAGAAGCACCACCCUUACGUCAGCGUUAAGCUCCCAACCACCCAUCAACCCGCACCUCCCCCACCACCACCCACACCAGCGCCCGUCUACGGACCUCCACCGCCAGUAGAGCCCGUCCCCGUCUAUGGUCCCCCUCCACCACCACCACCACCACCACCUCCACCACCAGCACCCCCCGUAGAUGUUUACGGCCCACCCCAAGCCCCAGCAGCCACCUACGGCGUGCCCUCUGCCCUUGCCCCCGGUACCCAUCUCGAACCCCCUCCACUACCCUUGGAUACCCCCAGACAAGUAGCAGCCGCCGCUGCAGUUGACUCCUACCAAGUUCCAAUUGCUGUCUACGCCCAAGGCCAGCGCUUCAUCACCCCGGCCGGCACGACGCUGACCGCACCCGCCUACUACAACGUCGACUCAUUCUUGGCAGCCUCGGAGAACGAUGAGGUGAAGGCAGAAGGCGACGAAGGCCACGAGGAGGUUGAAGAGAUCGAGCACGUGGUGGCACGAGGAAACCACAGCGAGCACGCCGAACACGGAAAGCAGACGGCUCAUGCUUUGCCAUCCCACAAUGUCCACCAUGUCCAGGCUGAGCGUGAACACCAUGCUCACCACGCUGAACACGCUCAGCGUGCUGAACACGAGCAUGAGGCUGUCCACGCCGAGCACGAACCCGUGCAAAAUGCCAGACCGGUGACGAAUCAAAUGAGGAGGUCGCCACCUCCGGCCGAGCAGAAGCACGAACAGCAGCCAGAGCAGUUUGUGCGAGGAGAAGUUUUCGUCGUUCCUCUUAACCAUGCUACCGAGGACACACAUCAACAGGAGCAUGCCAGUGAAGAAUCAAAUUCUGGAUCUCAUUAAUUUUGAGAUUCCCCAGCAAUGAUGCCAUAUCAUUAAUUUAAUGUAAAUAUUUUUUAAAUUUUUAUUUAUUUCUUAAUUUUAGCUGUAGGAUUAAUUACUUUCCUAGGAUCCUCUGUUUCCCUUGUAAUUCACUUUUUUUCAAAAUUAUUUUUUUGACAUUCAACGAAGUUGACUAUUCUCCAUGAUAAAUAAAUGAAUCUGUAUGCUGUGUCCGUUCAGAUAAAUAUUCUGCCGAGAAAUAAAAUUAAUUUUACAUAACUAUACCUCCACCCUGUGCCCUGUGGCUCAUCAACAAGCAAGGUUGCGUGACUUUCUUUCCCCAAAACCAUGUAUUGCAGACAAAAAGUAACGGGUUUAUACACGUCUUUUAUAUGCCUAUGGUCAUCAUAUAAUUCCAAAUAUUUGCCUCACUUUGAGUAUUUCAUCAAUGUAACUACCCUUGCGAGUGGAUCUUCAUGAAAUAGCAAAAUGAUUUCUCCUGAAAAAUUCAUGAAACAAUAAUGAAAAUAGAAUCGUACAAAUGGUAAUGAAGUUCCAUAUUUCAAAAGUUAAUAUGCAUUGAAUAUAAUGAGAUAGAUUUCAUUUUGACCUUGCGGUCAAAAUCCAUCAUUAUUAUUUUUUGCCUCAGUUCAAAAGAUGCUUUUAGAAUCUCGGUAACUAGGUAUUUUGUGCAAAACUAUACUUAGUACGAUAUAAAAGCUACUUUUAGGGUACAACUGAAAACUUUCUAAACUUGAAAUUGCCUCAAGUUUUAGUCAAAGGUAAGUCUUGAUUUGCUUUAGUAAUUAAAUUAUUUGUUACUUUGCUGAACCACUCAGUCUAGAGAGAUGUCAGCAAAAGCCGUAAAACCCCUCAGGUCAGAAUAGACUGUGAGCUUUGAAAAAAAAAAUUAUCUCCUCAAUAAUAAGUAUAAUCAACUUCAUAGAAAUAUUUGCCGUGAAAGCAAAGAGUUCCAAACCAAAUCUGCUUAAAAUGAUCUCCAAAAAAACAUAUGUAUACUUUUUUAUGUGAUAAUCAUAAUGAAUUUUGAGUUAGGUAUGUCAAAAUUCCAGUUUCGGAGUCCGCAAAUUUUACAUGUUUAUUAAAGCAUAUUGCUAAUUUCUUAAUCUAAAAACAUAGUUUACUUUCGCACUGAUUGGUAUGCUAAUAAUUUUGAAUCGACUUUUACGUCUGUUAAUAUUGUGAUAAAGCUUAUUCAAUUUUUAACCCAUGACUAGAAUUGCUGAAUAGGUCUACUGCACACAAGAGGUACAGCCAAUGGGAUUGACAUUCUUCAGGUAAAAUCGUACGUAAAUCACUAUAGGCAUAACAAAAAAUUCUGAAGCCACAGCGUGUAAUAUGCGUUGUGUGUAAUUUGCUUUUUCAAAUUUUCUGCGUCAUGAGCAGUUAUUCACUUGAUAAAUCCUAACCCAAUUGAACAAAAAAAUCUCAAAAUUGUUUUUCUCUCGCGUAUGACCUCAAUCGUUUUUCAGCGUUUAUGUCCUUCUCAUUUUUUGCAUCUUGUUUUGCAAAAUCAAAAAUCUUGAAUCAAUUGAAGUCAUAUGUGGGAAAUUUUUGUGAUAGUUCUCGAGAUGAGUGGUUACUUUAAGGUCAGGUUUUUUGCGUCUCUCUCCGGACAAAAUUUAUAACCGGCCACUAAGAAAAACUUUCCGCAGAUGCAGAAGUCUUACUAACUACUUAAAAUAAAUAAUUUUUAGAUUCUAUAUAAAAUCAUGUUCUAAAUUCCUAGUUAUUAUAAAAUAAUUUCAUCAAAAAUUGUUUUACUUAUUGUGAGGUGUGGAUUUUAGAAUUUUUUGCAGUGACAAUCGUGAUUUUUAAACAAUUUUAUCCACGGAAAGGCUAUUCAUUCAUUUGUAACUCUUGCGAGCAAACGACCCGUUUUAUUUAUUAUCAACAAAUUCAAUUCUUGGCUCCAAGAACUUUUCCUCUUAAAGUGAAUUCAAUCCAAGUCAUAUCAUUAUGUUCUAAGUUAAGUUUUAAAGUAAAAUACGCACUCCUCUCUCUUAAAAAUUUUAAAAACUUGAAUUUUUAGUGUAAUACAUGUACUCAGGUGCUGACCAUUCUCUGAUGUGUAUGCCUACUCAUAAGAUAAAUACAUUUUC
This 4404-nucleotide long non-coding RNA is filed under the name Bemisia tabaci. RNAcentral describes it as "lncRNA ENSSSA2NGG003362". The record is from RNAcentral. Lineage: Eukaryota; Metazoa; Arthropoda; Insecta; Hemiptera; Aleyrodidae.